GGGAUGACACGGAAUUGUCUGACAGGAUGUCAAACUAAGGGACCAGCACAUCGGAUGUGCUUCGCUGUAAGGAUGCAGCACCGCUUAAUAUAUCUUAUUCUCCGUAACAAA
This 111-nucleotide small RNA is filed under the name Legionella longbeachae D-4968. The record is from RNAcentral. Lineage: Bacteria; Pseudomonadati; Pseudomonadota; Gammaproteobacteria; Legionellales; Legionellaceae.